AUUCAGCUGACGAGUCUCAAAUAGGAUGAAACGCGCAUUCUGGAU
RNAcentral lists this non-coding RNA (45 nucleotides) under Schistosoma bovis. The record is from RNAcentral. RNAcentral also lists the same sequence under 1 other name. Lineage: Eukaryota; Metazoa; Platyhelminthes; Trematoda; Strigeidida; Schistosomatidae.